This 458-nucleotide ribosomal RNA is filed under the name uncultured bacterium. RNAcentral describes it as "partial 16S ribosomal RNA". It matches the Rfam family "Bacterial small subunit ribosomal RNA", at positions 338 to 795 of the family's 1533-position model. The record is from RNAcentral.
CCUACGGGUGGCAGCAGUGAGGAAUAUUGGUCAAUGGGCGAGAGCCUGAACCAGCCAAGUCGCGUGAGGGAGUACUGCCCUAUGGGUUGUAACCCUCUUUUGUCGGGGAGCAAAAGCCGGACGUGUCCGGCUGUGAGAGUACCCGAAGAAAAAGCAUCGGCUAACUCCGUGCCAGCAGCCGCGGUAAUACGGAGGAUGCGAGCGUUAUCCGGAUUUAUUGGGUUUAAAGGGUGCGCAGGCGGAUUUUUAAGUCAGCGGUAAAAUCGUGGGGCUCAACCCCAUCCAGCCGUUGAAACUGGGGAUCUAGAGUGUGCGAGAGGUAUGCGGAAUGCGUGGUGUAGCGGUGAAAUGCAUAGAUAUCACGCAGAACCCCGAUUGCGAAGGCAGCAUACCGGUGCACAACUGACGCUCAGGCACGAAAGCGUGGGUAUCGAACAGGAUUAGAUACCCUUGUAGUC